This 348-nucleotide long non-coding RNA is filed under the name Homo sapiens (human). Its description in RNAcentral is "HSALNT0395987". Lineage: Eukaryota; Metazoa; Chordata; Mammalia; Primates; Hominidae. The record is from RNAcentral.
CCCGAGUAGCUGCGAUUACAGACAUUUGCCACCAUGCCCGGCACAGCACAGCACCGCACAUCUCCAGUCGGACUGGCUACAUUUCAAGGGCUCAACCAUCACGCGUUACCAGUGGCUACUGCAUCAGACUGUGCAGUGCUAGAUGGGGAGUCAGAAGAGAAACCAAGUGAUUUCCAUGUCAAGUGGUGAACAGGCUAAGAAGAAAAGUAAAUUGGGGAAAGAGCAUGGGGAAUGUGGGGGUUGCUGUUUGAAAGAGGAUGGUUGGGAAGGCUGAAGAGCUGUCAUUCGCAGAGGGACCCAAAAGAGGUCCACUUACAGCUGGAUUUACUUCCACCUCUGCCACCUGUG